GGAGUUAGGACCGUGUCUCAGUUCCUAUGUGGGGGACCUUCCUCUCAGAACCCCUAACGAUCGAAGGCUCGGUGGGCCGUUACCCCGCCGACUACCUAAUCGUACGCAUCCCCAUCGGUGUACCGAUAAAUCUUUAAUCGGGAAAAGAUGUCUUCACCCGACCACAUCCGGUAUUAAUCCUCCUUUCAGAGGGCUAUCCCGGAGUACACGGCAGGUUGGAUACGCGUUACGCACCCGUGCGCCGGUCGCCAUCAAGAGUAGCAAGCUACUCUCAUGCUGCCCCUCGACUUGCAUGUGUUAAGCCUGUAGCUAGCGUUCAUC
RNAcentral lists this ribosomal RNA (321 nucleotides) under uncultured Bacteroidales bacterium. Its description in RNAcentral is "partial 16S ribosomal RNA". The record is from RNAcentral. Lineage: Bacteria; Pseudomonadati; Bacteroidota; Bacteroidia; Bacteroidales.